This 198-nucleotide ribosomal RNA is filed under the name uncultured bacterium. RNAcentral's name for it is "partial 16S ribosomal RNA". It matches the Rfam family "Bacterial small subunit ribosomal RNA", at positions 1303 to 1500 of the family's 1533-position model. The record is from RNAcentral.
GUCUGCAACCCGACUACAUGAAGCUGGAAUCGCUAGUAAUCGCAGGUCAGCAUACUGCGGUGAAUACGUUCCCGGGUCUUGUACACACCGCCCGUCACACCAUGGGAGCCGGAAAUGCCCGAAGCCAGUGACCCAACCUUAGGGAGGGAGCUGUCGAAGGUGGAGCCGGUAACUGGGGUGAAGUCGUAACAAGGUAAC